UUGUAAAUGUUUCAGCUGUGCUUUGUGAGAAAGGAGGGAGAAUAACAGGUUUUAAUACAAACUAUAGCCCAUUGCUAAAUCUAAUCAA
Molecule: non-coding RNA, 88 nt
Organism: Pangasianodon gigas (Mekong giant catfish)
Lineage: Eukaryota; Metazoa; Chordata; Actinopteri; Siluriformes; Pangasiidae
Source: the annotation of a GenBank genome assembly